Ostrinia nubilalis (European corn borer) is the source of this 1145-nucleotide long non-coding RNA. RefSeq lists it as uncharacterized. The transcript has 4 exons. The record is from RefSeq and is a predicted model, not a curated record. Lineage: Eukaryota; Metazoa; Arthropoda; Insecta; Lepidoptera; Crambidae.
GCCUGCGCGCGCCGGCCGGCGCCUGGCGCGACGCCCACACCGACUCCGACGACAACAGCGACUCCGCCGCCAACACCACCACCAAAGGGUCCGGCGGCUCCCCGUGCGGCAGCACGUACGGCAGCGGGCGGCGCAGCGCGCGCACCACCAGCAGGUAGAACCCAGUGGAGGCCCCAACGGGAGCGAUGGGCUUUCAGGAAGCUUUGCCCCCGUUGCCGCAGAUAUAUCGUCAUUAAUCGAUAAAUACCAACAAAGAAAAGAACAAGAACGUCGGGAAUGUACUAUCCACGUUUAACAUUCCAUGGUCCAUUAUAAAGUAAGAAACUUAUAGUCUGCGAUAACUUGAUUUUGAUUUUCAUAACGAUUCUAAGAUUUAUAUACUUACAUACUUAACUACUCAAAUAAAAUGAUGUAUUUCUUACAAUGCUCAAUCAUUGUUUUCAUCGUGUUUAUCGUACAAUUUCAAUGAAUCGAUGGCAUGAUGUUAUUUUUCACGAAACUGAUCGUGACUACCCCAUUGAUGUUACAAAAUAUUGUUAUUUACAUUAAUAAAAAUUGCUAUUUAUUUUACUGUUAAUCUGUCACAGUUUAGAUUUUUAAAAGAUUAACAUGCAAUUGUAAAUAUUAGCAAAAAUAAGCUUAAAAAUAGCGUACCGCUUGCUGCGAGAUUGUUAAGCUAAAGACGUUGAUUUUUGUUGUGUUAUGAGGGUCAUCAAAUGGCACUACAAUUAAUUGGCUCUGAGCGUCCAAAUAAUACUCUUUAGUUAUUUUUAUAAUUAAAUGAAAAAUAUGGAAAAAGUGUAGUCAUUUGAAAUAAUCUCCCAGCAAGCAAUUUUAAUUCUACAAUACAUUAAGUGCAUGUUUUUGUAAGAAAAUUAUAAAGAAGCUUUGAGCGAAACUUUUCUACAAAAAUUAUGAACUUAUUACUUUUGUGGAUAAGAUAAUAUUAAUUAAUAGAUAAAUAAUGUUAACGGCUGUUCCAAACUGCAAAAGAUACAUAUCAUUAAAAUAGACUGCCAAUUUAAUAAUUAAGUGAUUCAUAAUUCUUUUUACUGUAUUGUUGAUUAAUAUAGUUAAUUAGCUAUUAAUUAUACACUAUUGUAUAAAAUCUUUCUAUAUACAUGUUGUGUAAUAAUGAAAUUAUU